AUUGAACGCUGGCGGCAGGCCUAACACAUGCAAGUCGAGCGGAUGAAGGGAGCUUGCUCCUGGAUUCAGCGGCGGACGGGUGAGUAAUGCCUAGGAAUCUGCCUGGUAGUGGGGGAUAACGUCCGGAAACGGGCGCUAAUACCGCAUACGUCCUGAGGGAGAAAGUGGGGGAUCUUCGGACCUCACGCUAUCAGAUGAGCCUAGGUCGGAUUAGCUAGUUGGUGGGGUAAAGGCCUACCAAGGCGACGAUCCGUAACUGGUCUGAGAGGAGGAUCAGUCACACUGGAACUGAGACACGGUCCAGACUCCUACGGGAGGCAGCAGUGGGGAAUAUUGGACAAUGGGCGAAAGCCUGAUCCAGCCAUGCCGCGUGUGUGAAGAAGGUCUUCGGAUUGUAAAGCACUUUAAGUUGGGAGGAAGGGCAGUAAGUGAAUACCUUGCUGUUUUGACGGUACCAACAGAAUAAGCACGGGCUAGCUUCGUG
This 484-nucleotide ribosomal RNA is filed under the name uncultured bacterium. RNAcentral's name for it is "partial 16S ribosomal RNA". It matches the Rfam family "Bacterial small subunit ribosomal RNA", at positions 30 to 507 of the family's 1533-position model. The record is from RNAcentral.